AUGCGUCGAACACGCACUAGAGCAAAUCAAAACAACGGAAGGAAUAUGUGGCGUCAUCAAGGAAUCCAAAUACCUGAGCAAGCAGCCUCCAAACUAGCAACACUCGAAUCUAAUGAUAGUCAAUCAGACAUCAUUAGAGCAGCAGCAAAGGAAGCUAGGCGGAAAAGGAAAGAGAUCCUCAAGCUGAAAAAGGCAAGCAAACGACUAAGGAUAGAAAAGGGCAAUGACUGUGAAGUAUCUCAUGUAGCGAAGGAUGUCACUCAAAUUUCAUAUCUGGGAAAACCAAAUUGUGUUUGUGAAUUUUGCAAUGCCAUUAUGUGGCAUGGAGAGAGAAGCACAAGCACAGGUAACAUCACAGUUCCAAAAUUUGGUCUCUGCUGCAAGGAAGGGAAAGUUAAAUUACCACCACUGAAACAAGCUCCGCUGUAUCUCCGACAGCUACUACGUUACAAUGAAAGAGGAGAAUCAUCAAAUUUCCACAAGAACAUCAGGUUGUACAACUCGAUGUUCGCAUUCACUUCAAUGGGAGGAAAGGUUGACUAUGAAAUUAAUAAGCAGGCAUCUGGACCGUAUGUUUUCCGUUUGAAUGGCCAGAAUUACCAUCAGAUUGGCACUUUACUUCCUAAAGAUGACGUGACGAAGCCAAAAUUUGCCCAAUUGUACAUACAUGACACAGAAAAUGAAGUGCGGAAUAGGAUUAAUGCAUCUGCUUCAACGGAGAGUAAGACACAACCAGAUGAAAACAUUGUCAAAGGACUACUGGAGAUGCUUGAUGAGCACAAUGUUUUAGUCAAAUCAUUUCGUAUGGCAAGGGACAGAUUCCAAAACCGACGUAUUAAAGAUGUAAGACUAAGAUUGAUCAACAAAAGGUCGAAAGAUGGACGGCAAUACAACCUACCAUCUGCCUCAGAAGUCGCAGCACUAAUUAUUGGGGAACAAGAAGGAGAAAAUAAUGAAUUUGAUAUAAUAGUUGAGACCAAAGACAGAAUGUUACAGAGGAUUUCAGAGUUGCACCCAAGCUAUAUGUCAAUGCAGUACCCCUUGCUUUUUCCAUAUGCAGAAGAUGGUUUCAGACCAGAAAUAGAGUAUGAAAAAAAAGAGGCAGCAAAGGUAAAAGAAAGUACGUAA
This 1128-nucleotide ribosomal RNA is filed under the name Triticum aestivum (bread wheat). Its description in RNAcentral is "partial small subunit ribosomal RNA". The record is from RNAcentral. Lineage: Eukaryota; Viridiplantae; Streptophyta; Magnoliopsida; Poales; Poaceae.